Molecule: Y RNA, 91 nt
Filed under: Carlito syrichta (Philippine tarsier)
Lineage: Eukaryota; Metazoa; Chordata; Mammalia; Primates; Tarsiidae
Description: Y RNA (ENSTSYG00000022734.2)
Rfam family: Y RNA
About the family: Y RNAs are components of the Ro ribonucleoprotein particle (Ro RNP), in association with Ro60 and La proteins. The Y RNAs and Ro60 and La proteins are well conserved, but the function of the Ro RNP is not known. In humans the RNA component can be one of four small RNAs -- hY1, hY3, hY4 and hY5.
Source: Rfam by way of RNAcentral
GGCUGAUCUGACGUAGUGGGUUAUCAGAACUUAACAUUAGUGCCACUAAAGUUUGUGUACAACUUCCACUGCUAAAUUUGACUGGCUUUUA